UACGAAGGGGGCUAGCGUUGCUCGGAAUGACUGGGCGUAAAGGGCGCGUAGGCGGAUCGCUCAGUCGGGCGUGAAAUCCCCGGGCUCAACCCGGGGCGGUCGCCCGAGACGAGUGGUCUGGAGUGGGGGAGGGGGUCGCGGAAUUCCCAGUGGAGAGGUGAAAUGCGUAGAUAUUGGGAAGAACACCGGUGGCGAAGGCGGCGACCUGGCCCUUGACUGACGCUGAGGCGCGACAGCGUGGGGAGCAAACAGG
This 253-nucleotide ribosomal RNA is filed under the name uncultured bacterium. Its description in RNAcentral is "partial 16S ribosomal RNA". It matches the Rfam family "Bacterial small subunit ribosomal RNA", at positions 524 to 776 of the family's 1533-position model. The record is from RNAcentral.